This 301-nucleotide ribosomal RNA is filed under the name uncultured bacterium. RNAcentral's name for it is "partial 16S ribosomal RNA". It matches the Rfam family "Bacterial small subunit ribosomal RNA", at positions 509 to 807 of the family's 1533-position model. The record is from RNAcentral.
CAGUAGCCACGGGAAUACGUAGGUGGCAAGCGUUGUCCGGAAUUAUUGGGCGUAAAGGGCUCGCAGGCGGUUUCUUAAGUCUGAUGUGAAAGCCCCCGGCUCAACCGGGGAGGGUCAUUGGAAACUGGGAAACUUGAGUGCAGAAGAGGAGAGUGGAAUCCCACGUGUAGCGGUGAAAUGCGUAGAGAUGUGGAGGAACACCAGUGGCGAAGGCGACUCUCUGGUCUGUAACUGACACUGAGGAGCGAAAGCGUGGGGAGCGAACAGGAUUAGAUACCCCCGUAGUCCCUGUCUCUUAUAC